GAGAAAGUAUGCAAGAACUGCUAACUCCUGCCACCAUAUGUAACAAUAUGGCUUUCUCA
This 59-nucleotide transfer RNA is filed under the name Ochotona cansus (Gansu pika). RNAcentral's name for it is "tRNA-Ser". Lineage: Eukaryota; Metazoa; Chordata; Mammalia; Lagomorpha; Ochotonidae. The record is from RNAcentral.